AGUGAACGCUGGCGGUAGGCCUAACACAUGCAAGUCGAACGGCAGCACAGUAAGAGCUUGCUCUUACGGGUGGCGAGUGGCGGACGGGUGAGGAAUACAUCGGAAUCUACUUUUUCGUGGGGGAUAACGUAGGGAAACUUACGCUAAUACCGCAUACGACCUACGGGUGAAAGCAGGGGAUCUUCGGACCUUGCGCGAUUGAAUGAGCCGAUGUCGGAUUAGCUAGUUGGCGGGGUAAAGGCCCACCAAGGCGACGAUCCGUAGCUGGUCUGAGAGGAUGAUCAGCCACACUGGAACUGAGACACGGUCCAGACUCCUACGGGAGGCAGCAGUGGGGAAUAUUGGACAAUGGGCGCAAGCCUGAUCCAGCCAUACCGCGUGGGUGAAGAAGGCCUGCGGGUUGUAAAGCCCUUUUGCUGGGAAAGAAAAGCAGCAGGUUAAUACCCCGCUGUUCUGACGGUACCCAAAGAAUAAGCACCGGCUAACUUCGU
Molecule: ribosomal RNA, 491 nt
Filed under: uncultured bacterium
Lineage: Bacteria
Description: partial 16S ribosomal RNA
Rfam family: Bacterial small subunit ribosomal RNA
Source: RNAcentral